This 235-nucleotide ribosomal RNA is filed under the name Escherichia coli. Its description in RNAcentral is "partial 23S ribosomal RNA". It matches the Rfam family "Bacterial large subunit ribosomal RNA", at positions 1705 to 1938 of the family's 2925-position model. The record is from RNAcentral. Lineage: Bacteria; Pseudomonadati; Pseudomonadota; Gammaproteobacteria; Enterobacterales; Enterobacteriaceae.
UUAAGGAACUCGGCAAAAUGACCCCGUAACUUCGGGAGAAGGGGUGCUCUAUUAGGGUGCAAGCCCGAGAGAGCCGCAGUGAAUAGGCCCAGGCGACUGUUUAGCAAAAACACAGGUCUCUGCAAAACCGUAAGGUGACGUAUAGGGGCUGACGCCUGCCCGGUGCUGGAAGGUUAAGAGGAGUGCUUAGCUUCGGCGAAGGUACGAAUUGAAGCCCCAGUAAACGGCGGCCGUA